UACUUAGGGGGCGAGCGUUAUCCGGAUUUACUGGGCGUAAAGCGCGUUACGGCGGCUAGCAACGUUGGUGGUGAAAUUUCAGGGCUCAACCCUGAAACUGCCUCCAAUACUGGUUAGCUUGAGUGCGAGAGAGGAAGGUGGAAUUCCCGGUGUAGUAGUGAAAUGCGUAGAUAUCGGGAGGAACACCAGUGGCGAAGGCGGCCUUCUGGAUCGUAACUGACGCUGUAGCGCGAAAGCGUGGGGAGCGAACGGG
RNAcentral lists this ribosomal RNA (253 nucleotides) under uncultured bacterium. Its description in RNAcentral is "partial 16S ribosomal RNA". It matches the Rfam family "Bacterial small subunit ribosomal RNA", at positions 524 to 776 of the family's 1533-position model. The record is from RNAcentral.